GAUGAACGCUGGCGGCGUGCCUAAUACAUGCAAGUCGAGCGGUAAGGUUUCCACUCUGUACUUAAAUACUUGAGUAUAGUGUGGAAAUACACGAGCGGCGGACGGCUGAGUAACACGUAGGAACGUACCCCAAAGUGAGGGAUAAGCGUCGGAAACGACGUCUAAUACCGCAUGUGAUCUUCGGAUUAAAGCUUCGGCGCUUUGGGAACGGCCUGCGCAUGAUUAGCUUGUUGGUGAGGUAAUGGCUCACCAAGGCGAUGAUCAUUAGCUGGUCUGAGAGGAUGACCAGCCAGACUGGGACUGAGAACGGCCCAGACUCCUACGGGAGGCAGCAGUAGGGAAUCUUCCACAAUGGGCGAAAGCCUGAUGGAGCAACGCCGCGUGCAGGAUGAAGGCUUUCGGGUCGUAAACUGCUUUUAUCUGUGACGAUAAUGACGGUAGCAGAUGAAUAAGGAUCGGCUAACUCCGUGCCAGCCGCCGCGGUAAAAC
Molecule: ribosomal RNA, 489 nt
Filed under: uncultured bacterium
Lineage: Bacteria
Description: bacterial SSU rRNA
Rfam family: Bacterial small subunit ribosomal RNA
Source: RNAcentral